AAAAAAAUUAUAUGUCAUACACAGAAUUCUGAUUUCUGACUGAUAACACAUUUCUCUACAGAGUCUAGUUCUAGCAAUCAGUGUCGGCUAAAUCAAAUGUGCUACUUCUACGUAACCGCGUACUGAGCUUAUAUUGCAGGAAGAAGGAUCAAUGGCAGGAAUAGCAGAGAGAGCUGCAGGGCAGGAUGGAGGUGUAGUGACAGCUGUGUGUGGGGUCAGUACAGGAAUAGCAGAGAGAGCUGCAGGGCAGGAUGGAGGUGCAGUGACAGAGCUGUGUGUGGGGUCAGUACAGAAAUAGCAAAGAGAGCUGCAGGGCAGGAUGGAGGUGCAGUGACAGAGCUGUGUGUGGGGUCAGUACAGGAAUAGCAGAGAGCUGCAGGGCAGGAUGGAGGUGCAGUGACAGGGCUGUGUGUGUGUAGUCAGUACAGGAAUAGCAGAGAGCUGCAGGGCAGGAUGGAGGUGCAGUGACAGAGCUGUGUGUGGGGUCAGUACAGGAAUAGCAGAGAGAGCUGCAGGGCAGGAUGGAGGUGCAGUGACAGAGCUGUGUGUGGGGUCAGUACAGGAAUAGCAGAGAGAGCUGCAGGGCAGGAUGGAGGUGCAGUGACAGAGCUGUGUGUGGGGUCAGUACAGGAAUAGCAGAGAGAGCUGCAGGGCAGGAUGGAGGUGCAGUGACAGAGCUGUGUGUGGGGUCAGUACAGGAAUAGCAGAGAGCUGCAGGGCAGGAUGGAGGUGUAGUGACUGCAUAGGAAUGGUAUAUUAGUAGAUAGUGCAGGUAGAGUGGAUUAUUGUCUAUAAUAAACAGUCACCCUUUUUAUGCAGUAUUAGUUUCUGUAAAGGGAUUUUCUCUAUUUAUGUUGGUUUAAUGUCUCCCCUGAGUUGUUAGGACAGUUCGUGUUUAUUCCAUUAUACGCAGGACAGUAUCCUUGGUGGAUGGAGUUGAUGUUCGUUUUCUAAGUUCAGUUUUUGGUGGGGAGAACAGACUCUGAAAAUCUCAGGAUUUCUGCCUUGUUCUCCCCUCGUUCUCCCCUCGUUCUCUCCAUGCUGCUCCAGUCCAUGUGAAGUUCAGAAUUCCUUUUCACACAUGUAUCUAUAUGCACGAGAGCAAUGGUCAUCAUUCCAUAGACCGUUGCUAUGAAGAUGUGCACAGUCUUCU
Molecule: non-coding RNA, 1153 nt
Organism: Pelobates cultripes (western spadefoot toad)
Lineage: Eukaryota; Metazoa; Chordata; Amphibia; Anura; Pelobatidae
Source: the annotation of a GenBank genome assembly